This 254-nucleotide ribosomal RNA is filed under the name uncultured bacterium. RNAcentral's name for it is "partial 16S ribosomal RNA". It matches the Rfam family "Bacterial small subunit ribosomal RNA", at positions 524 to 776 of the family's 1533-position model. The record is from RNAcentral.
CACGUAGGGGGCGAGCGUUGUCCGGAUUUAUUGGGCGUAAAGAGCUCGUAGGCGGCUCGGUAAGUGAGGUGUGAAAACUCCAGGCUCAACCUGGAGACGCCACUUGAUACUGCUGUGACUGGAGUCCGGUAGGGGAGCGUGGAAUUCCUGGUGUAGCGGUGAAAUGCGCAGAUAUCAGGAGGAACACCAGCGGCGAAGGCGGCGCUCUGGGCCGGUACUGACACUGAGGAGCGAAAGCGUGGGUAGCAAACAGG